Molecule: small RNA, 178 nt
Filed under: Chelonoidis abingdonii (Abingdon island giant tortoise)
Lineage: Eukaryota; Metazoa; Chordata; Testudines; Testudinidae
Description: TUC338 (ENSCABG00000019259.1)
Source: RNAcentral
UAGGCAGCCCAAAAAGUCUUCUAUUUUUCCAUAGAACAGCCACAGGUACAACGUGGGAGAGAGCAGUACAGCCCUUCCCACCCUGCCCUGUCAAUGUGCAUCAGAUGUGACCUGACAGGAGCAGCUCACAGGAAGAGAAGAUAAUCCAGCCUCUGGGCCUAUUCAGUCCUUGGCCUCA